UACGGAGGGUGCAAGCGUUAUCCGGAUUUAUUGGGCGUAAAGAGCUCGUAGGCGGCUUGUUGCGUCGACUGUGAAAACCCGCGGCUUAACCGCGGGCUUGCAGUUGAUACGGGCAGGCUAGAGUUCGGUAGGGGAGACUGGAAUUCCUGGUGUAGCGGUGAAAUGCGCAGAUAUCAGGAGGAACACCGGUGGCGAAGGCGGGUCUCUGGGCCGAUACUGACGCUGAGGAGCGAAAGCGUGGGGAGCGAACAGG
RNAcentral lists this ribosomal RNA (253 nucleotides) under uncultured bacterium. RNAcentral's name for it is "partial 16S ribosomal RNA". It matches the Rfam family "Bacterial small subunit ribosomal RNA", at positions 524 to 776 of the family's 1533-position model. The record is from RNAcentral.